GCGCUCUGCUCACUGUCCACAGGACGCAGAGAUCUCAGCCUUGAGGUUGCAGACCAUCCUGAGGAGAGUGCUGGCGAAGCGACAAGACAUCAAGUCAGACGGCUUCAGCAUCGAGACCUGCAAGAUCAUGGUGGACAUGCUGGACUCGGACGGGAGCGGCAGGCUGGGGCUGAAGGAGUUCUACAUCCUGUGGACGAAGAUCCAGAAGUACCAGAAAAUUUACCGGGAGAUCGACAUAGACAGGUCUGGCACCAUGAACUCCUACGAGAUGCGGAGGGCGCUGGAGGAAGCAGGGUUCAGGCUUCCUUGCGAACUGCACCAAGUCAUCGUUGCCCGGUUUGCAGACGACCGAGCUCAUCAUCGACUUUGACAACUUCGUCCGGUGCCUGGUUCGGCUGGAGACGCUGUUCAAGAUAUUCAAGCAGCUGGACCCCGAGGACACCGGGACCAUCCAGCUGGACCUCAUCUCUUGGCUGUGUUUCUCGGUGCUGUGAAGGGGUGCCCAGCACGCCUGGAGGCUACAGAGGACCCAGGGACUGAGUCUGGACACCUGGAUCGGGCUUGGCACUGUGGGACAUUACGUACACUGAGGACUGUAGCUGAGAACACUGUCUGAGAUAGCCAGACUGUCCCGCCAGGUAGAAGGUUUGCUUAUUAUACAAGUGCAAGUGAGCUGCUUAACCCCUGACAAGCCCAAAGGAAGCCUACACCUACAAACAGUACCCACUUUUCACUUUGACACGCUUUCCUGUUCGGAGCAAUGCUAAACCAGGAGGACAAGGAGGUGUUUUAAAUCAGUCUCCAGGCCAAGAGUAACGGGGAUGCUGAGUUUUAAAAUGCAGAGGUGGCGGCGUCGCCCCCCCAGCAGCCCAGGGACAGUGGCCUCAGCAAGGCAGCGAGAGCCCGGGGAGGAAAGCGCCCUCCUCAUGGGCCAGAUGAGAGCAGGGCGUGCACAGUGCUCAGGUCCUUGUACACGCUCAGCCCUGGGCCUUCACAGGGUCCCACACGUGACUGGUGAGGCUGUGGCCAAGCCAGGCUGGUUGCAAACUGAGGGCUAAGACCCUGGCCCUGCACUCCGUGUCCUCGGUGCCUUUCCGUGGUGAGGGAGGGCGUCCUGGAGGAGACGCCGCAGCUGCUUCUGGGCCUGACCUCGGGAAAGCUGCGACACUAAAACCAUUGCCUUUGCCUUACCACCUUCCUAGUGUCCUGUUGAAUAAAGUUGCCCGACAGCCACCCC
Long non-coding RNA from Heterocephalus glaber (naked mole-rat), 1237 nucleotides. NCBI's taxonomy places the organism in Eukaryota, Metazoa, Chordata, Mammalia, Rodentia, Bathyergidae. The record is from Ensembl.